CCCUUAGAUGUCCUGGGCCGCACGCGUGCUACACUGAUGCAUACAGCGAGUACUUUCCAGCUCCGCGAGGCAGCUGGUAAUCAGCAAUAUGCAUCGUGCUGGGGAUAGAUCUUUGGAAUUAUAGAUCUUGAACGAGGAAUUCCUAGUAAGCGCAAGUCAUUAGCUUGCGCUGAUUAAGUCCCUGCCCUUUGUACACACCGCCCGUCGCUCCUACCGAUUUCGAGUGAUUCGGUGAACCUUUUGGACAGCGUCUGUCCUCGUGUCAGGUGCUGAAAGUCAAGUAAACCAUAUCACUUAGAGGAAGGAGAAGUCGUAACA
This 318-nucleotide ribosomal RNA is filed under the name uncultured eukaryote. Its description in RNAcentral is "partial 18S ribosomal RNA". It matches the Rfam family "Eukaryotic small subunit ribosomal RNA", at positions 1470 to 1796 of the family's 1831-position model. The record is from RNAcentral.